Heterocephalus glaber (naked mole-rat) is the source of this 1780-nucleotide non-coding RNA. NCBI's taxonomy places the organism in Eukaryota, Metazoa, Chordata, Mammalia, Rodentia, Bathyergidae. The record is from RefSeq and is a predicted model, not a curated record.
GAUCGAACUCGGGUCCUUGUGCUUGCGCAGCAGGCGGUGUAAUCACUGAGCUAAAUCCUCGCCCCCCUGCCCAUUGCUUUUUAAUAACUGUCAUCCUCUCUUCUGUCCCAACAUACGAUAACCUUGCUUUUCAGCUGCACUUUGUCAGCAUCCUCUGUCCUCAGGCUGUGGUAGUUGGGAGCAACCAGAAUCGUACCCUUGGCGGUAUCACGGGAAGUGAUUUAUGGGAAUGGGAACUGUCCUCGCCAUAUAUUUUGUUGGAUUUCUGCACUCUGCCUCUCUUUUUGCAUUAUGGUUUUUCUGCUUAUAUCGGACACUAAGGGUCCCACUUGGUGUAUACAUCUCCUGGCAAUGGCUAGAGCAGUCUAAUUCUGCAGGUUUUGAAUGAACUUCCUGCUCUGCAUGCCAAAAUUCCUCCGACCCGUCUCCUGUAGAGUGUGCGUGCGUGGCGUGCGUGCGUGACAUGCGUGGCGUGCGUGCGUGUGUGUGUGUGUGUGUGUGUGUGUGUUGGGGAAGGAGGAGAAAAGGGAUGUUUCUGGAGAGACUGCAAUGACUCAAAGCAUGUUGGAGCUGGAAGGCACCCUAAGCAUCACCUAGUUGGGGAUUUUCCAUCAGCCUUUAAGAGAAUCUUAAAAGUAUGUCAGAGGCAUUUCAAGAGGCUGCAGUACCAAGAUGGAGCUGCUAAGUAACGGUGUGUGUUGGGGACUUUCCUGCUUCCCAGGCCACUAGAAAUUCAGCUGUACCUGUUUUUCAAACUGGCCCCAUAUUUUCAUUUUAUAAGCUAGGUAAUAGGGGUGGAAUAACUUGUUAAUUGGGUGUCAUUUUACCUUGCUAAUCCUCUUAGAUGUCUUCUUCAUGACCUUUUCACAGUGAUUUUUCAUGUCUUUUCUGUUUGUCUAAUUCUCUGUCUCCAUUUAGCACCCUAACACCCUCUUCAUCAUUCCUAUCUGCCAUUUUUUCCAGAAAGAAUUGGGGCCUCUGGCAUGUGUGCUCUUGCAGCCUCUCUCCUUAUCACUGUCUUCAUUUCCCCUCUCCUUCCAGUCUCUGGAGAAAGUGUCCCUCGUCUUCCUCUCUUUCCAUUCCUAACCUUUCCACUUGUGCCUACAAUUCCACUUCUUCCCACCGCCCAAGAUCUUGUCUCAAUUUGGACUUCUGUAUUCAAUCUUUUCAUAUUAUCCAGAGAUUUUUCUCUUUGCCAAUAAACAACUUCAGGUCUUCCCAUUAAUGCACACAAAACAAACAUAACAACAAACAGUCUCUUUAAAUUUGCUGGUUACCCAUUGCAUGUGAAUUGAGUAUAAACUUCUUGAUUCAGCCAACUUCUACUUUUUUAUUAUUCCUUUUACAUGUACCACAGAUACCAAUAGGUUGUUUUUAGUUUCUGAAUACACCAGGCAUAUUUUCUUUACUUAUUCCCUUCCUGGUGUCUUCUGCUCUUUUGACUGUUGUUGUCCUUCAAAGCCUAUCAUGGGCUAUUUCUUCUAUGAAGCCCCUCUGGCUUUCCAAGAGUAGCUGUAAUCCAGCCCUCCUUUAAAUGCUCACAGUACUGUUUCUUAUUUACAGGGUCUUAGCCUUCUUUUAUCUGCCUGACAGCUCCUCAAGAAGGAGGAAAUUAGGACACAAGUGCACACAGGGGAAGACCACAUGAAGACACAGAGGUGAGAAGAAGCCGUCUGCAAGCCAAUGAGCGAGACCUUACAAGAAGCCAACCCUGCUGACAACAUGAAUCAGUCUAGAUUUGGAAUUGUGAAAAAUACAUUUCUGUUGUUUAAGCCCCUCA